CCAAACACAACAAUUAAGAAUCAAUAUUAAUGUAAUACAAAAUGUUAAAUACUUAUAACCAACCUGCUAACUAAACUAACUAGCAAUAGUCAAUUAGUCUCUGAGGUGCCUUGCCUCAUUGUUUUAUACACCUACAAGGCACCCCGGAGAUAUCAGCCCCACUGUUCUCAGCUCGGCCUCCCUGUCCAGGAUCUGUCAUCUGGUAGGAUCCCUUCCCCUGCAAAGAGGACCCGUCCCACCUUAAAUAAUGAGGAGUUAAUUAAUAAAGGUGAGGAAGCUGUUGGAGAAAAUCCCUAACCCUUCUACCACCAGGAUGGAUAGAUGCCUGCAGGCCUCACAGGAAGGAAGAGUUUUAUGGAGGGAUUUGAAGGAGGACAAUGAAGUAGCUUUGCGGAUGUUUGCAGCUCUGAGUGCUCAACAUUUCUGCAGAACAGACCCCA
Long non-coding RNA from Mauremys reevesii (Reeves's turtle), 440 nucleotides. RefSeq lists it as uncharacterized. The transcript has 4 exons. Lineage: Eukaryota; Metazoa; Chordata; Testudines; Geoemydidae. The record is from RefSeq and is a predicted model, not a curated record.